Molecule: non-coding RNA, 529 nt
Organism: Vicugna pacos (alpaca)
Lineage: Eukaryota; Metazoa; Chordata; Mammalia; Artiodactyla; Camelidae
Source: RefSeq, a predicted model, not a curated record
UUGUAUCUAGAUAACCACAUCUCCUUUAUCCAGUCAUCUGUCAGUGGACAUUUAGGUUGCUUCCAUGUCUUGGCUAUGGUAAAUAGCAAUCACAAAAAUUUUUAAUGUAAUUCUAAAAUCUCUGAAUUGUUUCCUCACAGAUGGUGAGUUCUUUGGGACGCUUUACCUGCUACAGAACAGUGUUUGUCAACAAGUAACAGGGACUGGCCCUGCGUUUCCCAGAGAGACUUAUGAUUCUUGGGGCACCUUCCCUCCAUUUCAUGUAGGGUCACCAGGGAGAAGGUGUCUAAGAAAGAAGAGUGGAAGGACUGUCUUGAUUCUCAGGAGCGGUCUUACCCCCACUGCCCAGUGUGCUGGGCACAGCCUGAGCAUCAGACCUGGGAGCAUCUUCAGCAAGGCGGCUGCUGAGGCAAAGAAGGCGUUUCUGCACAGAGCUUUAAGACUUUUCUACAAUGAACACUACAUAUGGAGCAAGAAGGCAAAUGGUACUUUUACAACCUGAUAUUACCAACGACUCUUCUUUUUCAAA